RNAcentral lists this ribosomal RNA (816 nucleotides) under uncultured Citrobacter sp. Its description in RNAcentral is "bacterial SSU rRNA". It matches the Rfam family "Bacterial small subunit ribosomal RNA", at positions 9 to 819 of the family's 1533-position model. The record is from RNAcentral. Lineage: Bacteria; Pseudomonadati; Pseudomonadota; Gammaproteobacteria; Enterobacterales; Enterobacteriaceae.
GAGUUUGAUCCUGGCUCAGAUUGAACGCUGGCGGCAGGCCUAACACAUGCAAGUCGAACGGUAGCACAGAGGAGCUUGCUCCUUGGGUGACGAGUGGCGGACGGGUGAGUAAUGUCUGGGAAACUGCCCGAUGGAGGGGGAUAACUACUGGAAACGGUAGCUAAUACCGCAUAACGUCGCAAGACCAAAGAGGGGGACCUUCGGGCCUCUUGCCAUCGGAUGUGCCCAGAUGGGAUUAGCUAGUAGGUGGGGUAACGGCUCACCUAGGCGACGAUCCCUAGCUGGUCUGAGAGGAUGACCAGCCACACUGGAACUGAGACACGGUCCAGACUCCUACGGGAGGCAGCAGUGGGGAAUAUUGCACAAUGGGCGCAAGCCUGAUGCAGCCAUGCCGCGUGUAUGAAGAAGGCCUUCGGGUUGUAAAGUACUUUCAGCGAGGAGGAAGGCGUUGUGGUUAAUAACCGCAACGAUUGACGUUACUCGCAGAAGAAGCACCGGCUAACUCCGUGCCAGCAGCCGCGGUAAUACGGAGGGUGCAAGCGUUAAUCGGAAUUACUGGGCGUAAAGCGCACGCAGGCGGUCUGUCAAGUCGGAUGUGAAAUCCCCGGGCUCAACCUGGGAACUGCAUCCGAAACUGGCAGGCUAGAGUCUUGUAGAGGGGGGUAGAAUUCCAGGUGUAGCGGUGAAAUGCGUAGAGAUCUGGAGGAAUACCGGUGGCGAAGCGGCCCCCUGGCAAAGACUGACGCUCAGUGCGAAAGCGUGGGGAGCAAACAGGAUUAGAUACCCUGAGUCCACGCCGUAAACGAUGUCGACUUG